RNAcentral lists this ribosomal RNA (497 nucleotides) under uncultured bacterium. Its description in RNAcentral is "partial 16S ribosomal RNA". It matches the Rfam family "Bacterial small subunit ribosomal RNA", at positions 28 to 507 of the family's 1533-position model. The record is from RNAcentral.
GACGAACGCUGGCGGCGUGCCUAAUACAUGCAAGUUGAGCGCUGAAGGUUGGUACUUGUCCCAACUGGAUGAGCAGCGAACGGGUGAGUAACGCGUGGGGAAUCUGCCUUUGAGCGGGGGACAACAUUUGGAAACGAAUGCUAAUACCGCAUAAAAACUUUAAACACAAGUUUUAAGUUUGAAAGAUGCAAUUGCAUCACUCAAAGAUGAUCCCGCGUUGUAUUAGCUAGUUGGUGAGGUAAAGGCUCACUAAGGCGAUGAUACAUAGCCGACCUGAGAGGGGGAUCGGCCACAUUGGGACUGAGACACGGCCCAAACGCCUACGGGAGGCAGCAGUAGGGAAUCGUCGGCAAUGGACGAAAGUCUGACCGAGCAACGCCGCGUGAGUGAAGAAGGUUUUCGGAUCGUAAAACUCUGUUGGUAGAGAAGAACGUUGGUGAGAGUGGAAAGCUCAUCAAGUGACGGUAACUACCCAGAAAGGGACGGCUAACUACGUG